UUUAUUUUAACUUUUGUAGUUUUUUUUCUUCUUUUCUUUGAAUAAUGGUGAUUUAUUUUACUCCUACUAACAAGACUAACCUUUAAUUGAUUGCGUUACAGGCUUAACUCAGACUAGUUUUUCACACUAAUCAUUUAGAGAUGGAAGGUACUGAUAACAUGCAAGUUAUUUUCAUAAAUGAGGCUCAAAGAAGACGCUAUGAAGUCUUGG
Molecule: long non-coding RNA, 210 nt
Filed under: Lathyrus oleraceus (garden pea)
Lineage: Eukaryota; Viridiplantae; Streptophyta; Magnoliopsida; Fabales; Fabaceae
Description: Pisum sativum (pea) long non-coding RNA (PSAT_LNC034642)
Source: RNAcentral